RNAcentral lists this ribosomal RNA (252 nucleotides) under uncultured bacterium. RNAcentral's name for it is "partial 16S ribosomal RNA". It matches the Rfam family "Bacterial small subunit ribosomal RNA", at positions 525 to 776 of the family's 1533-position model. The record is from RNAcentral.
ACAUAGGCUCCAAGCGUUGUUCGGAAUUACUGGGCGUAAAGCGAGUGUAGGCGGUGCGACAAGUCGAUUGUGAAAUCUCCCGGCUCAACCGGGAGGGUGCGGUCGAAACUGUCGGACUGGAGUCCGAGAGGGGAGAGUGGAAUUCCUGGUGUAGCGGUGAAAUGCGUAGAUAUCAGGAGGAACAUCGGUGGUGAAGACGGCUCUCUGGAUCGUGACUGACGCUGAGACUCGAAAGCGUGGGGAGCAAACAGG